AGAGUUUGAUCAUGGCUCAGGACGAACGCUGGCGGCGUGCCUAAUACAUGCAAGUCGAACGAACGGAUAAGGAGCUUGCUCUUUUGAAGUUAGUGGCGGACGGGUGAGUAACACGUGGGUAACCUGCCUCACAGCUGGGGAUAACAUCGAGAAAUCGAUGCUAAUACCGAAUGUGCUGAACAUCAUAAGAUGUUCAAGUGAAAGACGGUUUCGGCUGUCACUGUGAGAUGGACCCGCGCUGGAUUAGCUAGUUGGUAAGGUAAUGGCUUACCAAGGCGACGAUCCAUAGCCGACCUGAGGGGGUGAUCGGCCACAUUGGGACUGAGACACGGCCCAAACUCCUACGGGAGGCAGCAGUAGGGAAUCUUCGGCAAUGGACGAAAGUCUGACCGAGCAACGCCGCGUGAGCGAAGAAGGCCUUCGGGUCGUAAAGCUCUGUUGUUAGAGAAGAACAUGGGUGAGAGUAACUGUUCACCCCUUGACGGUAUCUAACCAGAAAGCCACGGCUAACUACGUGCCAGCAGCCGAGGUAAUACGUAGGUGGCAAGCGUUGUCCGGAAUUAUUGGGCGUAAAGCGCGCGCAGGCGGUCUCUUAAGUCUGAUGUGAAAGCCCCCGGCUCAACCGGGGAGGGUCAUUGGAAACUGGGAGACUUGAGGACAGAAGAGGAGAGUGGAAUUCCAAGUGUAGCGGUGAAAUGCGUAGAUAUUUGGAGGAACACCAGUGGCGAAGGCGGCUCUCUGGUCUGUUACUGACGCUGAGGCGCGAAAGCGUGGGGAGCAAACAGGAUUAGAUACCCUGGUA
Molecule: ribosomal RNA, 802 nt
Filed under: uncultured bacterium
Lineage: Bacteria
Description: bacterial SSU rRNA
Rfam family: Bacterial small subunit ribosomal RNA
Source: RNAcentral